AGGCCUGAUGUGUGUGAGAUUACCCGCUGAAUUUAAGCAUAUAAGUAAGCGGAGGAAAAAGAAACUAACUAGGAUUCCCUUAGUAAUGGCGAUGAACAGGAUCAGCUCAGUGCCAAUCGAAUCACUUGUGGUUCUGAAAUGUGGCUUGAAGGCAGUACAGUGGCAUCGCGGACGAAAGUCUCUGGAAAAGAGCGUC
RNAcentral lists this non-coding RNA (196 nucleotides) under Perkinsus marinus ATCC 50983. RNAcentral's name for it is "Eukaryotic large subunit ribosomal RNA". It matches the Rfam family "Eukaryotic large subunit ribosomal RNA", at positions 1 to 204 of the family's 3401-position model. Lineage: Eukaryota; Perkinsozoa; Perkinsida; Perkinsidae. The record is from Rfam by way of RNAcentral.